RNAcentral lists this transfer RNA (71 nucleotides) under Marmota monax (woodchuck). RNAcentral's name for it is "tRNA.Ala". It matches the Rfam family "tRNA". From Rfam's summary of the family: Transfer RNA (tRNA) molecules are approximately 80 nucleotides in length. Their secondary structure includes four short double-helical elements and three loops (D, anti-codon, and T loops). The record is from RNAcentral. Lineage: Eukaryota; Metazoa; Chordata; Mammalia; Rodentia; Sciuridae.
GGGGUUGUGGCUCAGAGGUAGAGCACUCGCCUGGCAUGCGUGAGGCAUUGAGUUUGAUCCUCAGCACCACA